Molecule: ribosomal RNA, 484 nt
Filed under: uncultured bacterium
Lineage: Bacteria
Description: SSU rRNA
Rfam family: Bacterial small subunit ribosomal RNA
Source: RNAcentral
AGAACGAACGCUGGCGGCAGGCUUAACACAUGCAAGUCGAGCGCCGUAGCAAUACGGAGCGGCAGACGGGUGAGUAACGCGUGGGAACAUACCCUCCGGUUCGGAAUAACUCAGGGAAACUUGAGCUAAUACCGGAUACGGCAUCGGAGAGAGAUCUCGGCGGCGAAAGAUUUAUCGCCGGAGGAUUGGCCCGCGUCCGAUUAGCUUGUUGGUGAGGUAACGGCUCACCAAGGCUUCGAUGGGUAGCUGGUCUGAGAGGACGAUCAGCCACACUGGGACUGAGACACGGCCCAGACUCCUACGGGAGGCAGCAGUGGGGAAUCUUGCGCAAUGCGCGAAAGCGUGACGCAGCAACGCCGCGUGGGGGAAGAAGGCUUUCGGGUGUAAACCCCUUUCAGUUGGGACGAAGCUUCUCCGGUGAAUAGCCGGACGGAGUGACGGUACCUUCACAAGAAGCACCGGCUAACUACGUGCCAGCAGCCGC